Molecule: ribosomal RNA, 567 nt
Filed under: uncultured Actinomycetes bacterium
Lineage: Bacteria; Bacillati; Actinomycetota; Actinomycetes
Description: bacterial SSU rRNA
Rfam family: Bacterial small subunit ribosomal RNA
Source: RNAcentral
CCUACGGGAGGCAGCAGUGGGGAAUAUUGGGCAAUGGAGGAAACUCUGACCCAGCGACGCCGCGUGCGGGAUGAAGGCCUUCGGGUUGUAAACCGCUUUCAGUAGGGAAGAAGCGAAAGUGACGGUACCUACAGAAGAAGCACCGGCUAACUAUGUGCCAGCAGCCGCGGUAAUACAUAGGGUGCAAGCGUUGUCCGGAAUUAUUGGGCGUAAAGAGCUCGUAGGUGGUUUGAUACGUCGGGUGUGAAAUUCAGGGGCUCAACCCCUGACCUGCAUUCGAUACGGUCAAGCUAGAGUUUGGUAGGGGAGACUGGAAUUCCUGGUGUAGCGGUGGAAUGCGCAGAUAUCAGGAGGAACACCGAUGGCGAAGGCAGGUCUCUGGGCCAAUACUGACACUGAGGAGCGAAAGCGUGGGGAGCGAACAGGAUUAGAUACCCUGGUAGUCCACGCCGUAAACGGUGGGCGCUAGUUGUGCGAACCUUCCACGGUUUGUGCGACGCAGCUAACGCAUUAAGCGCCCCGCCUGGGGAGUACGAUCGCAAGAUUAAAACUCAAAGGAAUUGACGG